UCCAGCUUAUCGCCGGCAGUUUCCUUAGAGUUCCCAACUUAAUGAUGGCAACUAAGGACGAGGGUUGCGCUCGUUGCGGGACUUAACCCAACAUCUCACGACACGAGCUGACGACAGCCAUGCAGCACCUGUGUGGUAGCCAGCCAAACUGAAGAAAGCCAUCUCUGGCGAUCAAACUACCCAUGUCAAGGCCUGGUAAGGUUCUUCGCGUUGCCUCGAAUUAAACCACAUGCUCCACCGCUUGUGCGGGUCCCCGUCAAUUCCUUUGAGUUUUAAUCUUGCGACCGUACUCCCCAGGCGGGGUGCUUAAUGCGUUAGCGUCGCCACUGAGGUUUAAACCCCAACAGCUAGCACCCAUCGUUUACAGCGCGGACUAC
RNAcentral lists this unclassified non-coding RNA (377 nucleotides) under uncultured Rickettsiales bacterium. RNAcentral's name for it is "contains 16S-23S intergenic spacer region". The record is from RNAcentral. Lineage: Bacteria; Pseudomonadati; Pseudomonadota; Alphaproteobacteria; Rickettsiales.